UGUGGUAUAGCUCAGUGGCAGAGCACGUGCUUAGCAUGCACCAGUUCCUGGGUUCAAUCCCCAGGACCUCCA
Molecule: transfer RNA, 72 nt
Organism: Camelus ferus (Wild Bactrian camel)
Lineage: Eukaryota; Metazoa; Chordata; Mammalia; Artiodactyla; Camelidae
Rfam family: tRNA
About the family: Transfer RNA (tRNA) molecules are approximately 80 nucleotides in length.
Source: Rfam